This 605-nucleotide long non-coding RNA is filed under the name Ictidomys tridecemlineatus (thirteen-lined ground squirrel). RNAcentral describes it as "lncRNA (ENSSTOG00000034576.1)". The record is from RNAcentral. Lineage: Eukaryota; Metazoa; Chordata; Mammalia; Rodentia; Sciuridae.
GUCUGUUCCGCUUUCCCGCGGGCUCCCGCCACACAGCUGCAGGAGACCUGAGCGCCUGCGGGCCCGGAGACCUCCAGAUCUCUUGGAAAUCCAGCACCAACCCCAUCUAAUCAGAAGGAGGAAGACGGCGCCGCAGAGCCCUUUGGGAAAUGUAGUUUCAGGACUGACUUCUGGGAAACGGAAUCAGAGGGAGGCGGUGAGCUUUCGCAGCCAAUUACAAGCGAGCUGGGGCGAGUCACGUGACGCGCCUUUGCUAGGAACGCUGAAAGGUAACUUUCAGAAGUUGGGUUUUCUUUGCUGUCCAGAGAACCUAGGUUCAGGAACAGUAUCCCUAUCAUCAAGGUCCCAGAUUUCAGCUAAGCCCUAAGCUCCGUGGGCUGAGUUACAGCAUUGACAGGAAAGAGGCUAAACAAUAAAUGCCAGGAUGCUACUGAGAGCCCUGGUGGGAAUGCAAGUCUUUGGAAAGACUCUCUUUGUGACCUUCCACCUCACUAUUAAGUCUCACGUCUCACGUUUGUUCUUCCCUAAGUGUAUGAGAAUGAAAUGCAAAACAAAGCAAAAUAUUAGAGGAAUAUUCAAGACUGUCAAAUUAGUAAGAAGAUAGA